This is a long non-coding RNA of Bombus impatiens (common eastern bumble bee), 356 nucleotides long. RefSeq lists it as uncharacterized. NCBI's taxonomy places the organism in Eukaryota, Metazoa, Arthropoda, Insecta, Hymenoptera, Apidae. The transcript has 3 exons. The record is from RefSeq and is a predicted model, not a curated record.
AUCGAAAUAAAUUUAACGAAAAUCGGGAUGGUGGCCGGGUACUGCCAGAAGAUGACACGUUCCUGAACAUAUCUGCCGAUAAAUCUUGAAAUAAAUAUUUGAAAUAUCAUUUCACGCUGUGUCACAUUGGAAAGAGGAAGCAACUGACGAGAGCUGGUCGUAAAUGUGAAAGAUUUAAUAUACAACAUGGUGGGAUGGCUUCAAAAUAAUUAUGGUUUGAUUGCAAGGACAACAUGGAGGCGUUAAAGAGAUGCCACGAAAUUCGUAAGGACGUCAUGAUGUUGCUUAAUGAUCAAUCUGAUAGAUUCUUAUGCAAAUAUGAAAUUUCUACAAAACUACUAGGAAGAUACAAAGUA